CCUCGUCUGUUCCAGCCCAUUUAAGGCGUUAUCGUACUCUCUGUGAUCCAUUUUGCUCUGUUUUGAACCAGAGAAAUCCACGUACUGACCCAUUUCUGA
Long non-coding RNA from Poecilia latipinna (sailfin molly), 99 nucleotides. RefSeq lists it as uncharacterized. The record is from RefSeq and is a predicted model, not a curated record. The transcript has 3 exons. Lineage: Eukaryota; Metazoa; Chordata; Actinopteri; Cyprinodontiformes; Poeciliidae.